Tribolium madens (black flour beetle) is the source of this 710-nucleotide long non-coding RNA. RefSeq lists it as uncharacterized. The transcript is spliced from 3 exons. Lineage: Eukaryota; Metazoa; Arthropoda; Insecta; Coleoptera; Tenebrionidae. The record is from RefSeq and is a predicted model, not a curated record.
UUUACCUGUUCUUCGCAAACUUUUCAACAACUUCAAACUUCCGCGAAACGCAUUUUCGUCGCAAAUUUGAGGUCAAGAGUGCAAACAAACGCCGAUUAUUACCUGUUGUCGUAGGUUAUCCGACAGACUUGGCCAAAACAACACGCACAAACGCAAACAUUUAUUUAAUCACUUUAAAGCCACUUUUAAGGCACACACUGAUCACUUUUACGCACUGUGGACUCUUACAUGGUGUUCGCACACUUGGUUCGGUAGUUGGGUGAUGGUUUUUCUGGAGAUGAUUUGAAAAUUCCUCGAAACGGUACCCACACACCUCAACCGCGUCCUCGCAACUCGCAACACACACUUCACAAGAAAAAACCUUAAAACUUGUGUUAUUUGGAAGAACAAAAAUGGGACUUCACUUUAUGAAAAAUCACUGUAAAGCAGGCUUUAACGUCAAAUUUGACUUUUCAAAAACGUCAAAAUUCCACAUUACUGACAAGUUCAAGGGGUACCACAACAUGCUAUAGAGCGGAAAAAAUCAAAUAUAUUCGAGUACAGUUGCCGGACGACACGGAAUCCUAGGCAGUCUUUUCUUGUCAUUUCAAAAUAUGUCAAUAUAAAUGCACUUUUAUUGUCAUUAUUACAAAAACUUCGACUUUGUCAGUGUCAAAAAGACAAAUAUGCCAAACAUUAAAAACUUGGUUAUGGGUACCUAAGGACCUAAG